ACUAAGUACGUGACAGCAGCGGGUGUAAUGCGGGGGUGUAAAGGUGUAUACGGAAGUAUUUGGCGUAAAGCGUACGUAGGCGGUUUCAUAAGUCAGAGGUGAAAGCCCGCGGCUGAACGGUGGAGGGGCCAUGGAGACUGUGGGACUGGAGUGUAGGAGAGGAGAGUGGAAUGAGCAGUGUAGCGGUGAAAUGCGUAGAGAUGAGGAGGAACACCAGUGGCGAAGGCGACUUACUGAUCUGUAACUGACGCUGAGGCGCGAAAGCGUGGGGAGCGAACAGGAUUAGAUACCCUGGUAGUC
This 300-nucleotide ribosomal RNA is filed under the name uncultured Lactobacillus sp. RNAcentral's name for it is "bacterial SSU rRNA". It matches the Rfam family "Bacterial small subunit ribosomal RNA", at positions 496 to 795 of the family's 1533-position model. Lineage: Bacteria; Bacillati; Bacillota; Bacilli; Lactobacillales; Lactobacillaceae. The record is from RNAcentral.